This 330-nucleotide RNase P RNA is filed under the name bacterium. RNAcentral describes it as "RNase P RNA component class A". It matches the Rfam family "Bacterial RNase P class A". Rfam says of the family: Ribonuclease P (RNase P) is a ubiquitous endoribonuclease, found in archaea, bacteria and eukarya as well as chloroplasts and mitochondria. Its best characterised activity is the generation of mature 5'-ends of tRNAs by cleaving the 5'-leader elements of precursor-tRNAs. The record is from RNAcentral.
GAUCUGCAUUAGGCAGUCGCCCACUCGAAAGGGUUGGGAGGAAAGUCCGGACACAGGCCCGCAAGGGUAGCAGGGUAGCGGGUAACGCCCGUCCGCCGCGAGGCGAGAGAUGCGAACAGAAACGCCGAUGUCGAAAGACUAGGGCUCCGAAAGGAGUAGCUCCAUGAAAACAUGGAGGUGCAACGGCAAAAUUCUUACUUCUGUGCAAGGCCGUGCCCUUGGGAUACACCAAUUGGAUAUCUCAAAGGAGAGCCGCUCGAGGUGGUUGGCAACAAUCAUCCCAGACACAUGACUGCACACGACAGAAUCCGGCUUACCGAUGCAGCAAAA